Molecule: long non-coding RNA, 426 nt
Filed under: Marmota monax (woodchuck)
Lineage: Eukaryota; Metazoa; Chordata; Mammalia; Rodentia; Sciuridae
Source: RNAcentral
UUUUAAGAAAAAUGCGGGCUGAUGUAGGAAACAGAAAGGCUCGCGUCUUUCGAUAGCGUUCUCUUUACAGCCAGACACUCCCACCAGCGCUAGGCUUCCAGCCCGGAACGCUGUAUCCCGGGAGUGACGUCAGAAGGCAGCGCCGGGAGGAGGAGGGCGGUAUUUCCGGCAGCGUCUCCGGGGUGCUACCUCGGGCUGGUAUCGCCCUGUGGACGGAUCAGUGAGUUGCUGCCGUUCUGGUCCGUGUUUCACCGCAGAAGUCAACUCCUGGAGUCUCCUGCGCUCCGCAUCGGCGGCAGCCUAUCCUCCGCACUCCUGGUAUGCGUGUGGUGUGGGAAAAUGUGGGCGACGUUUAAGGUGCACACAGUGGCAUGUGCGCGAAGGCCCACAGAUAGGAGGAAGCCCAGUGAUUUAAUACACUGAGAA